UAGGGAAUCUUCGGCAAUGGACGAAAGUCUGUCCGAGCAACGCCGCGCGAGUGAAGAAGGUUUUCGGAUCGUAAAACUCUGUUGUUUUAGAAGAACAAGGACGUUAGUAACUGAACGUCCUCUGACGGUAUCUAACCAGAAAGCCACGGCUACCUACGUGCCAGCAGCCGCGGUAAUACGUAGGUGGCAAGCGUCGUCCGGAUUUAUUGGGCGUAAAGCGAGCGCAGGCGGUUUCUUAAGUCUGAUGUGAAAGCCCCCGGCUCAACCGGGGAGGGUCAUUAGAAACUGGGAGACGUGAGUGCAGAAGGGGAGAGUGGAAUUCCAUGUGUAGCGGUGAAAUGCGUAGAUAUAUGGAGGAACACCAGUGGAGAAGGCGGCUCUCUGGUCUGUAACUGACGCUGAGGCUAGAAAGCGUGGGGAGCAAACAGG
Molecule: ribosomal RNA, 429 nt
Filed under: Gemmatimonadota bacterium
Lineage: Bacteria; Pseudomonadati; Gemmatimonadota
Description: Gemmatimonadetes bacterium partial 16S ribosomal RNA
Rfam family: Bacterial small subunit ribosomal RNA
Source: RNAcentral